Molecule: non-coding RNA, 89 nt
Filed under: Paenibacillus sp. yr247
Lineage: Bacteria; Bacillati; Bacillota; Bacilli; Caryophanales; Paenibacillaceae
Description: c-di-GMP-I riboswitch aptamer
Rfam family: c-di-GMP-I riboswitch aptamer
About the family: GEMM was predicted in a large-scale screen for bacterial structured RNA regulatory elements. Genes associated with GEMM are involved in a diverse array of functions, including chemotaxis regulation, signal transduction, secretion and chitin.
Source: Rfam by way of RNAcentral
UAUUGCAAAAGGCAAACUUAUCGAAAGGUAAGGACGCAAAGCUCCAGGUCUAAGGUUGCACUCGCAACGAUGAUGGCUGUGCUGCCGAA